UAAGGAAUAUUGGUCAAUGGAGGCAACUCUGAACCAGCCAUGCCGCGUGCAGGAAGACUGCCCUAUGGGUUGUAAACUGCUUUUAUCCGGGAAUAAACCUCUGCUCGUGAGCAGAGCUGAAUGUACCGGAAGAAUAAGGAUCGGCUAACUCCGUGCCAGCAGCCGCGGUAAUACGGAGGAUCCAAGCGUUAUCCGGAUUUAUUGGGUUUAAAGGGUGCGUAGGCGGCCUGUUAAGUCAGGGGUGAAAGACGGUAGCUCAACUAUCGCAGUGCCCUUGAUACUGAUGGGCUUGAAUGGACUAGAGGUAGGCGGAAUGAGACAAGUAGCGGUGAAAUGCAUAGAUAUGUCUCAGAACACCGAUUGCGAAGGCAGCUUACUAUGGUCUUAUUGACGCUGAGGCACGAAAGCGUGGGGAGCAAACA
This 422-nucleotide ribosomal RNA is filed under the name uncultured bacterium. RNAcentral describes it as "partial 16S ribosomal RNA". It matches the Rfam family "Bacterial small subunit ribosomal RNA", at positions 355 to 774 of the family's 1533-position model. The record is from RNAcentral.